UACGAAGGGGGCUAGCGUUGUUCGGAAUCACUGGGCGUAAAGCGUAUGCAGGCGGAUCGCUAAGUCGGGGGUGAAAUCCCGAGGCUCAACCUCGGAACUGCCUUCGAUACUGGCGAUCUUCGAGUCCGGGAGAGGUGAGUGGAACUGCGAGUGUAGAGGUGAAAUUCGUAGAUAUUCGCAAGAACACCAGUGGCGAAGGCGGCUCACUGGCCCGGUACUGACGCUGAGAUACGAAAGCGUGGGGAGCAAACAGG
This 254-nucleotide unclassified non-coding RNA is filed under the name uncultured Alphaproteobacteria bacterium. Its description in RNAcentral is "contains 16S-23S intergenic spacer region". It matches the Rfam family "Bacterial small subunit ribosomal RNA", at positions 524 to 776 of the family's 1533-position model. The record is from RNAcentral. Lineage: Bacteria; Pseudomonadati; Pseudomonadota; Alphaproteobacteria.